This is a long non-coding RNA of Hippoglossus stenolepis (Pacific halibut), 503 nucleotides long. RefSeq lists it as uncharacterized. The record is from RefSeq and is a predicted model, not a curated record. Lineage: Eukaryota; Metazoa; Chordata; Actinopteri; Pleuronectiformes; Pleuronectidae. The transcript is spliced from 3 exons.
ACAGGUGCAACAUGGAGGACAAAGAAGAAGAAGAAGAAGAAGAAGAAGAAGAGACACAUGUCACAGGUUUUAUCCAAAUGAUCGUUAUUUGCAGCAAUUCAAGAAAGACAUGGAUGAAAUCUUGUCCUUUUGUGGAGAACUCUAACGCUGGCUAUACAGAGAAAACGCCACUCUAAAAGUGCAGUCACAUCAGUAAGAGGAGUCAGGCUUCAUGUGGCGGAUGGCGGAACAGUUAUCCCCUCCUGCGUAGCAACAGGACGGUUUAAAUGAACGGUCUGGCAGUGCUGUGCAGAUGGAGGCUGGGAAACCUCGUCACACAAUGAGUGAGUCCCUGCUCGGUGCGGUGCUCUGUUAAGGAAAACACCAAGAGCCACACGAUUAGAGGCUUCGCAUCCAUGCUCAUGCGAGGUUAGUCCAGCCUGAUUUCUGAGGUAUCAAAUAUUUAUUACAGUUUAUAGAAGUCAUGCAGCUCAAGCCUGGUUAGUAAAGACUGUAUCACUGAU